This 252-nucleotide ribosomal RNA is filed under the name uncultured bacterium. RNAcentral's name for it is "partial 16S ribosomal RNA". It matches the Rfam family "Bacterial small subunit ribosomal RNA", at positions 524 to 776 of the family's 1533-position model. The record is from RNAcentral.
UACGUAGGGGGCAAGCGUUAUCCGGAAUUAUUGGGCGUAAAGAGUACGUAGGUGGCAACCUAAGCGCAGGGUUUAAGGCAAUAGCUCAACCAUUGUUCGCCCUGCGAACUGGGAUGCUUGAGUGCAGGAGAGGAAAGCGGAAUUCCUAGUGUAGCGGUGAAAUGCGUAGAUAUUAGGAGGAACACCAGUGGCGAAGGCGGCUUUCUGGACUGUAACUGACACUGAGGUACGAAAGCGUGGGGAGCAAACAGG